CACCACCAUUUCUCUCUCUAGUGCCCGGGGGGCGGGCUCCUAGGUCAUCCCAGGCUUCUGCUGCUGUAGUGGGACUGCGGAAGAGCCGGCCAAGUCACCUGCACAAUUCUCUCCGGCCAGGCAACGAGGGCAUCCGCCUUUCCCUUGGCAGCUCUUGAGGCUCUGCCCAGAAGGCAUCUCUCAGCUCUCACUGGGGCAGCAGCAGGGACUGUGCCCAAAGAGCAGGCCGCGUCCGGGGCAUUGGCGGUGUCCUGGGCACACGGCCGCCUCUCCCAGCAGGCCUCGCCCUCCAGAUGAAGCCUACCAAGCACAGUGGAGGGUUACCACGUCCCUCCAGAGGGACUGCACGCAGGCUCAGGUCCCCCUCCCCUGCCUGAGCAAGUCCCCGAGGUGAUCACUGUCCUGGGGUCACUGGGGACUGAGGGAGUCGUCAUGUGCCAAGUGUCUAGACCAGGGCCAGCACAUCCUGAGCUCCACGUGUGUGCAGGUGGUCGCCCCUGCGCUGCCCGCCAUCACAUCCCCUUGGCCUGCUCUGCAGCGUUUCCCACAGCCCCAGUCCCUGCUGGCUCUCCUCCCUCCCCAUCCUGGGCCCUCGUGAGAGGCGCCUGGAGCUCGGGUGACACCACCUUAACUUAGAGCCAGUUCUCCACCCAGCCAACCAUGAUUCUUCAAAGAGCUGAUUAGUUCCAUCAUGUGCUCAGAACGGUUCGUGAUGUGGCACACACACACACACACAGUGUGAGGACUGUCACAGGCAGGGGCCUUUUGUCCCCAUCCAGAGGCCCCUUUCCUUGGCAAUAGUCCUACAUCACAAAACCUGUCAAAGGACAUCUCUGGAGGCCUUUUGGGGUCCUUUGCAGCCAGAUGUGAGCUGUCUCAGCUCCCCUCUGCCUGACACAGAGGCAGAUCUGUGUCAUUACACAGGGGCAGCCUCCCAGAAGCGCCCCCCCCCCCGCGCUGUCCUGUGGUUUUGAACCAAGUCCUGCCAGCUCGUGGCCCCAUUGUGUAAUGGGUUCUUCCUCCUUGACUUCCGUAGGCUCCACCUCAAUGUCCUUCUCCAUUCCAGAUUUGUUUUGUUUUGUCUCUUUGAACGAUUGCAAUCUGCUGAAAGUUCCAGAAACCGAGGUCCAUGAGGCCCUGUUGUUUGAAUACUGUGCAUCUGCUGUUUCAUGUGAAGUGUCACAUACGAAGCCAGCCUCGAAGGUCCCUGGAGCUCUUUCUCGGCUGGUGGAGCCGCUGCCUCCCGUCAGUGUCUCCACGUGCCUGGGAAAACCAAGGGGGACCACAGUGCCUUCGAGAGCAGUCCUUUGAUCUAACACCAAGGCCAUCGCUUGCCACGAAAUACAGACACUCCUGCUGCAUCUCUGUGCAUCGAUCUUCCCUUGAUGAGUCAACAUUUGAAUCGCGAUGCAUCCCUUAGAUUUUGUAUUAUAGAACAUGUUCAAAUUUAUACGUUGUUAAAAUAAAAUC
RNAcentral lists this long non-coding RNA (1470 nucleotides) under Marmota monax (woodchuck). The record is from RNAcentral. Lineage: Eukaryota; Metazoa; Chordata; Mammalia; Rodentia; Sciuridae.